RNAcentral lists this ribosomal RNA (253 nucleotides) under uncultured bacterium. Its description in RNAcentral is "partial 16S ribosomal RNA". It matches the Rfam family "Bacterial small subunit ribosomal RNA", at positions 524 to 776 of the family's 1533-position model. The record is from RNAcentral.
UACGUAGGGUGUGAGCGUUGUCCGGAAUUAUUGGGCGUAAAGAGCUUGUAGGCGGUUUGUCGCGUCUGCUGUGAAAAUCCGGGGCUCAACCCCGGACUUGCAUUGGGUACGGGCAGACUAGAGUGUGGUAGGGGAGACUGGAAUUCCUGGUGUAGCGGUGAAAUGCGUAGAUAUCUGGAGGAAUACCGGUGGCGAAGGCGGCAUCCUGGACCGACAUUGACGCUGAACGGCGAAAGCUAGGGGAGCAAACGGG